GGGAAGGUGGCUCAGUGGUAGAGCUCUUGCCUUGCAUGCAUGAGGCCCUGGGUUCAGACCACUGCCCCCCA
RNAcentral lists this transfer RNA (71 nucleotides) under Dipodomys ordii (Ord's kangaroo rat). It matches the Rfam family "tRNA", at positions 1 to 62 of the family's 71-position model. From Rfam's summary of the family: Transfer RNA (tRNA) molecules are approximately 80 nucleotides in length. Their secondary structure includes four short double-helical elements and three loops (D, anti-codon, and T loops). Lineage: Eukaryota; Metazoa; Chordata; Mammalia; Rodentia; Heteromyidae. The record is from Rfam by way of RNAcentral.